UUGAAAGGGGAAUAGGGUUUGUUUGCGCCGUUUCACAUUCUCAGACUAAACAUUCUCUAUUCGUAUCUCUCACUCAAAACAGUCGCCGGAAAUCGCUUCCGCCGUACCGGAGGCGGCGGAGCUUGAGGUUUCACCCAAUAAGACCUCGAUCCCCGCUCUCCUUCUCACUCUGAUCAACAAUCCACCCUUAAAUUUGUCCGAUUCUUUCUCCAUUCCUCUAAAUCUAAGCAAAUAGAAAAACCUAGGUUUAACUAAAAACUUAAUUGAAUGUUAAUGGUGAGGAAUCCGAGAUCGAGACCAUAGGGUUAUGAAUAGUAAUGCUCGUUCUGUAUCGUGGCAUAAAGAAAAGUAGCAAAAAGUGGCAUAAAGAUGAAGUUCGAAUGGUUUACCUGGUAUGAAGAAUGCGCUUGAGAAAAAGAGAAUACCAGAGAGGCGGCUCCAGUUACUUGGCGAAAUAAACACGAUCUUCAGGUAAUUUCUCGAUUGCGUACUUCUACUUCUCGUUCUUUCCUUCUCUUCUUCUUUUUGAAUUUUGCGACUUUUUUUCUGAAAUUCUGAAUGGAUUUGCGAGGUGGUUGUUGAUGUUCUGCGAGCUUGAGAUUGAAAGAUUAAGACGUGUUGAAGUUGUUGCUAGAGGGUUGAAGGAUGAAGAUAGCGGAGAGUUGAGGAUUGAAGGUUUAGCUCAACCGUUCAGAGCUUCCAUUGAUGAAGCUCUGACAGUUAUGAAUUCCUGAGCUUUAGUUAGGUUAGGGAGAUGAAGGCAAUGGUGAAGAUUGAGAGAGAGAAUUUGAGAGAGAGUGAUGAAAUGGAUGAAAGAUGAAUGGUGCGUGUGUAUACAAAAAUGGUGGAGGGGGUGGUCAACCUUGAAUGAAGGUGAUGAGGUUUGAAUAUAUAGAGAUUGAGAGGGAGAAAGAGUUAGUUAGAGAGGAGUUUAAGAUUCUGAGCCAUUGGAUUAGAGGAAGUUAGUUAUGAGAUUAAGGGUGAGGAUUGGACAGUUGUGGAAGUUAGAAUCAGUUGGGAAAUUCUGUUGUUUCUGUUUUUGAUGAGCUGGAAGUUAGUUACAAACUGUUAUGACAGUUAGUUAGGUUGGUUAGAAUAUGCUCUAGCAGUUGGUUUUUGUAUUGAAUUUUCUGCCUCAUUUUGCCAGUUGAAUAUGCACUGAUGCAGUAUAACUGCUCCUUUUGUAUCUGCUCUCUUUUUUUUAGUCCCAAUGAUUGAUUGCUUGAACCGUAUUUGAAUAGCCUUCUGAUUGUGGAAUUUUGGCUCUGAAUAUGAUAUGUAUUGCUUGGGUUUUGAAUCCAAUGGGAUGCUGAAUGAAGGGAUAUAUGUAUGGCUGUGUAUGUUCUUGGAACUGUUUUCCUUGGCUUUUUCUUUUGGAAUGAGUGUGAGCUGCGGGUCCUUUUAAUUUGCAGCAAAGUCGUGAUUUGAAUUGUGCAGGUUGUUCAGGAAUGCAUGAGUGACAGUAACAUGGACCAUGGCUGAUGAUUGUAUGGUGUAGACCUUUGGUACAUGGACAUAUAUUGGGUGAAUGCUUAUGUAUGUGUGAUAUGGGGAUGGUGUCGAUUAGUGCAAUGUUAUUUAAUGCAGCUUUUCUUUUCUGUUUUGUCUAAUGGUGCAGGUUUAGCACAUAGCAACUUGUAUAACACAUUUAUUCAACACUUGGAUGACAAUGGUUAUAUGAUGCAUUUAAUUCAAUUGAUACAAGGAGGUCAAAAUGAAGAUGAAUGAAGAGGCUUUGAAGAGAAUAAGAUAUAAGCCUUAGGAUUAAUGUAAAAUAAUAAUGAAGUGAUAAAAAUAUUGUUUGGUUUGGUUUUCAAAUGCAUAUGAAAGUUUUGAA
Long non-coding RNA from Vicia villosa (hairy vetch), 1837 nucleotides. RefSeq lists it as uncharacterized. The transcript is spliced from 3 exons. NCBI's taxonomy places the organism in Eukaryota, Viridiplantae, Streptophyta, Magnoliopsida, Fabales, Fabaceae. The record is from RefSeq and is a predicted model, not a curated record.